AACAAGUUUAUUUUUCAGUUCUGAGAUACAAUGUUUGACUAAUCGUCUUAUUUUAAUUUUUCAUGAUUAAUAUUUUUACUAUUAUUAGGUGAUAAAACAUAAAUAGUACUUUAUGUGUGACUAAUUUUUAAAUUUUUUUUAAAUAAGACGGAUGGUCAAACGCUAAACAUAGAAAU
RNAcentral lists this microRNA precursor (176 nucleotides) under Oryza brachyantha (malo sina). Its description in RNAcentral is "MIR812 microRNA precursor family". It matches the Rfam family "MIR812 microRNA precursor family". The record is from Rfam by way of RNAcentral. Lineage: Eukaryota; Viridiplantae; Streptophyta; Magnoliopsida; Poales; Poaceae.